RNAcentral lists this ribosomal RNA (723 nucleotides) under uncultured bacterium. RNAcentral's name for it is "bacterial SSU rRNA". It matches the Rfam family "Bacterial small subunit ribosomal RNA", at positions 8 to 777 of the family's 1533-position model. The record is from RNAcentral.
AGAGUUUGAUCCUGGCUCAGAACGAACGCUGGCGGCAUGCCUAACACAUGCANGUCGAACGAGAUCUUCGGGUCUAGUGGCGCACGGGUGCGUAACGCGUGGGAAUCUGCCCUUUGGUUCGGAAUAACAGUUGGAAACGACUGCUAAUACCGGAUGAUGACGUAAGUCCAAAGAUUUAUCGCCAGAGGAUGAGCCCGCGUAGGAUUAGCUAGUUGGUGUGGUAAGAGCGCACCAAGGCGACGAUCCUUAGCUGGUCUGAGAGGACGAUCAGCCACACUGGGACUGAGACACGGCCCAGACUCCUACGGGAGGCAGCAGUGGGGAAUAUUGGACAAUGGGGGCAACCCUGAUCCAGCCAUGCCGCGUGAGUGAUGAAGGCCUUCGGGUUGUAAAGCUCUUUUGGCGGGGACGAUGAUGACGGUACCCGCAGAAUAAGCCCCGGCUAACUUCGUGCCAGCAGCCGCGGUAAGACGAAGGGGGCAAGCGUUGUUCGGAAUUACUGGGCGUAAAGCGAGUGUAGGUGGUUGUCAUAGUCAGGUGUGAAAGCCUUGAGCUCAACUCAAGAAAUGCACUUGAUACUGGGCAGCUAGAGGACCGGAGAGGAUAGUGGAAUUCCCAGUGUAGUGGUGAAAUACGUAGAGAUUGGGAAGAACACCAGUGGCGAAGGCGGCUAUCUGGACGGUUUCUGACACUAANACUCGAAAGCGUGGGGAGCAAACAGGA